This 490-nucleotide ribosomal RNA is filed under the name uncultured bacterium. RNAcentral's name for it is "partial 16S ribosomal RNA". It matches the Rfam family "Bacterial small subunit ribosomal RNA", at positions 30 to 507 of the family's 1533-position model. The record is from RNAcentral.
AUUGAACGCUGGCGGCAGGCCUAACACAUGCAAGUCGAAUGGUAACAGGAAACAGCUUGCUGUUUCGCUGACGAGUGGCGGACGGGUGUGUAAUGUCUGGGAAACUGCCUGAUGGAGGGGGAUAACUACUGGAAACGGUAGCUAAUACCGCAUAACGUCGCAAGACCAAAGAGGGGGACCUUCGGGCCUCUUUCCAUCAGAUGUGCCCAGAUGGGAUUAGCUAGUAGGUGGGGUAACGGCUCACCUAGGCGACGAUCCCUAGCUGGUCUGAGAGGAUGACCAGCCACACUGGAACUGAGACACGGUCCAGACUCCUACGGGAGGCAGCAGUGGGGAAUAUUGCACAAUGGGCGCAAGCCUGAUGCAGCCAUGCCGCGUGUAUGAAGAAGGCCUUCGGGUUGUAAAGUACUUUCAGCGGGGAGGAAGGGAGUAAAGUUAAUACCUUUGCUCAUUGACGUUACCCGCAGAAGAAGCACCGGCUAACUCCGUG